UACGUAGGGUGCUAGCGUUGUCCGGAAUUAUUGGGCGUAAAGAGCUCGUAGGCGGCCUGUUGCGUCCGCUGUGAAAUCCCGGGGCUCAACCCCGGGCGUGCAGUGGAUACGGGCUGGCUGGAGGCAGGCAGGGGAGAACGGAAUUCCUGGUGUAGCGGUGAAAUGCGCAGAUAUCAGGAGGAACACCGGUGGCGAAGGCGGUUCUCUGGGCCUGUACUGACGCUGAGGAGCGAAAGCGUGGGGAGCGAACAGG
Molecule: ribosomal RNA, 253 nt
Filed under: uncultured bacterium
Lineage: Bacteria
Description: partial 16S ribosomal RNA
Rfam family: Bacterial small subunit ribosomal RNA
Source: RNAcentral